UGAGAGCAGUCCAAAUGUCAGUGGUAAAGUUUCCUUUACUAGACUGAAAAAAAUCAUUUUCAUCAUACCUUUCCUGCAUCAGAUGCCUGGAAAAAUACGGGGCAGAGAUGAAAACUACUUACAGAAGCUUCUAUUCUGGAAUAGAACAGCUAGCAUACUACCAAGACUUUUCAAGGAGCAAGAAUGGAGCUCCCUGGAGAACUGACUGAACAUGGCUUCAGAGGCAGUAUCCAUAGACAUAGAGACAAAAAGUGCCCUCACUUUUACUGUAUUUUGACCUGGACCAGUCUACAUUUAUAUGAAUAGCUACAAAGCAGCUUUCAGCACAAGGCUGUAGGGUAGGUUCAGAUUUGGCCUCUCCAUUAAUUAGUAAGUACCAUUAGCUGGGCAGACAGCUGCCAAAGGGACUUUCUCCACACUCCCAUGAGUUGGUCACAGAGAUGUUACUGUACUUUUUUACUCAUCACCAUGAUUAAUUGCUGCACUUAGUUCAUAAUUUCCCCUGGGAGUUAACCCCUAGCUUGGGAUAAACACUAAGGUUUUGUCAAAUCCUCCCAUUCUAAGAUUGGAAUAUUGUUGCAUCAUCCUGUUGGAUGAUUCAGGAUUUUAAAAGUUCAGAGCACUCUGAUAUUCCGACAAUUAUAUACACAUUGUUUUCAGUCUUCUUCUGCUUUAUGAUCCUUGUUUAUAUUUCUUUGUGUCAUUCUUUUUAGUAAUUAUUUCCAUCGUUUCUUAAGCAUAAACAUGUUCUAACUGGCUGUGCGGUAGUGUUUCAAUAGAGCUCGUCAUUUCUAGGCAAGCUCUUCUAAUAAUAUUUUAUAUUUUUAAUUUAUCUCCUUAUAUUUUGCUGUAAUAUGGGUUUCAUUGAUUUUUAAAAUGAGUUUUGUUUGUUGUAAUAUAAGGUUAAUUCUGUUAUGUGCCAGAAUUAUACAUUUGACAGUUUUCCAUGGAAUUAUUUCAAUUGGCAAAUUAAAUAAACUCAGACUAUAGCCUCAGUAUUAGUAUUCUUAAUGGAUACACUUUUUAAAAGUAAAGACAAAUUCCCUGACCUAAAUAGUUAGGCAGAAAAUGAGACAUGUAAAGUAAAAUCAGUAUUUCGUUUCUUUGAAACUUUAUUGUGACUUGAAACAGUGCAACAAAAUAUCAGUCUAAUGCCAUAUUACUGAUUUUACCAGUGCUGUAAUUUUUAAAUAAUAAAUGUAUACUUUACUGAUUAAUGACUUGAGAGCUGCUUACUCUUCAUCAACGUAAAACUGCUCUUCAAGUUUCCCAUUCCACCUCUGCGGUAUCACUUACUUUCAAUAAGCUCAUCUCUCAUUUAAUUUAAAAUGUAAGGUAGUACAUUCAAUAGCUCUCUACAUCAAUUGUUUUUAACUAGAUUAAUUUAUGCCUAUGUAAGUAUAAAUAAGGCCUUGAAGUUGCUUGCGUGAUAAAUAAUAAAUAAAAUACAAAUUGUUGAACAGAUCAAUGGAAAAGGAAAUAAGAGUGGAUUAAUAAAAUAAAACCAGAAGAUACAAUUAGUUUAAGAAAUGCCUACUGUAAAAUCCCAUUAAAUCACUAGAAGUAGAAUGUAGAUUUGGCUCUGAGCUUCCCAGUAGCCAAAGCAAAAAGAACUGCAUUAUUUGCAAGGUUGACUGUUUUUGUAAUAUGUUUUAAGGUUUUGUUUCACAAAAAACCAUCUUUUCCUGAUAUGAGCAUGAAGAGAUAUUUCUCUUGAGAGUCCUGAUGAACAGCUUGUUACAGGAUAUGAAACACAUUGUCCUCAACGUCACUCUGACAGUAAUUUCGAAGGGAAGUUUCUGUAUUUUUGUUUCUCAAAAACGUGAAUUGUAGCAGUAAUGCCAAAGCAAUAUUCAGUAACACCAGUUUUACAUGUAACCAAAACAAUGGAAUACAAGUUUG
This 1902-nucleotide long non-coding RNA is filed under the name Homo sapiens (human). RNAcentral's name for it is "HSALNT0280862". Lineage: Eukaryota; Metazoa; Chordata; Mammalia; Primates; Hominidae. The record is from RNAcentral.